GACGAACGCUGGCGGCGUGCCUAACACAUGCAAGUCGUGCGAGAAAGUUCCUUCGGGAGCGAGUAAAGCGGCGCACGGGUGAGUAACACGUAGGUAACCUGCCCCCCAGUCUGGAACAACUAGAGGAAACUCUAGCUAAUGCCGGAUGAGACCACGAUCCCUUCGGGGGUUGCGGCCAAAGAUGGCCUCUACUUGUAAGCUAUCGCUGAGGGAUGGGCCUGCGGGCCAUUAGCUUGUUGGUGAGGUAACGGCUCACCAAGGCUGUGAUGGCUAGCUGGUCUGAGAGGAUGACCAGCCACACUGGGACUGAGACACGGCCCAGACUCCUACGGGAGGCAGCAGUGGGGAAUAUUGCGCAAUGGGCGAAAGCCUGACGCAGCGACGCCGCGUGGGUGAUGAAGGCCUC
This 406-nucleotide ribosomal RNA is filed under the name uncultured bacterium. Its description in RNAcentral is "bacterial SSU rRNA". It matches the Rfam family "Bacterial small subunit ribosomal RNA", at positions 28 to 418 of the family's 1533-position model. The record is from RNAcentral.